AGGGGUUAGAGUUUGGCUUCUAACCAAAAGGUUGGCGGUUCGAAUCCACCAGCCUCUU
This 58-nucleotide transfer RNA is filed under the name Loxodonta africana (African savanna elephant). The record is from Rfam by way of RNAcentral. Lineage: Eukaryota; Metazoa; Chordata; Mammalia; Proboscidea; Elephantidae.